AACGCACAUUGCGCCUUUUGGUAUUCCGAAAGGCAUGUCUGUUUGAGCGUCAUUUCAACACUCUAUCUGGCUUAAUUGUCGGUUGGGUUUUGAGCCAGGCCCAGCAAUGGACCGGUUUUAAAGUUGAACGCUCUGCGGGUGACUUAGCCUGACCGAACAUAGUAAAAUUUUGAAUUGUUCAUAAAGCAAAGUGAAACCCAGCCUGAACAAAACCAUAUUUCUUAGGUUUGACCUCAGAUCAGACAAGGAUACCCACUGAACUUAA
This 265-nucleotide unclassified non-coding RNA is filed under the name uncultured fungus. RNAcentral describes it as "partial contains 5.8S ribosomal RNA, internal transcribed spacer 2, and large subunit ribosomal RNA". The stretch from base 1 to 52 matches the Rfam family "5.8S ribosomal RNA", at positions 103 to 154 of the family's 154-position model. Lineage: Eukaryota; Fungi. The record is from RNAcentral.